RNAcentral lists this ribosomal RNA (395 nucleotides) under uncultured bacterium. RNAcentral describes it as "partial 16S ribosomal RNA". It matches the Rfam family "Bacterial small subunit ribosomal RNA", at positions 523 to 918 of the family's 1533-position model. The record is from RNAcentral.
AUACGUAGGGUGCAAGCGUUAAUCGGAAUUACUGGGCGUAAAGCGUGCGCAGGCGGUUUUGUAAGACAGGGGUGAAAUCCCCGGGCUCAACCUGGGAACUGCCAUUGUGACUGCAAGGCUGGAGUGCGGCAGAGGGGGACGGAAUUCCGCGUGUAGCAGUGAAAUGCGUAGAUAUGCGGAGGAACACCGAUGGCGAAGGCAAUCCCCUGGGCCUGCACUGACGCUCAUGCACGAAAGCGGGGGGAGCAAACAGGAUUAGAUACCCUGGUAGUCCACGCCCUAAACGAUGUCAACUGGUUGUUGGGGAUUUAUUUUCUCAGUAACGAAGCUAACGCGUGAAGUUGACCGCCUGGGGAGUACGGCCGCAAGGUUAAAACUCAAAGGAAUUGACGGGG